Molecule: long non-coding RNA, 1001 nt
Organism: Arachis stenosperma
Lineage: Eukaryota; Viridiplantae; Streptophyta; Magnoliopsida; Fabales; Fabaceae
Exons: 3
Source: RefSeq, a predicted model, not a curated record
CCCCCUUAUGCCUCAUCCUUCAGAAAGAACAAAAGAAAAAAAGGGGGAAAGGGAAAAACAGAGAGAGGGAAGAAAGGAAAAAAGGGGGAAGCGGAAAUAGAGAAGAGGGAGAACGAGGAAGGAAGGAAAGGGGGGAGAAGAGUGGGGCGGCGCGGUGGGUGUCACUGCCACCGUCGCCGCCGCUGCUGACAGAGGAGAGAGGAGAUCUGAGAGAGAAGGAGAGUGUCGUGAGGGAGCCGCCGCGCCGCUCAGGACCGCCGUCGCAUCGUGUCGCCGUUUGCAACAGCGCCGAGGAGGACCGCGCGAGAAGGAGGCACAACCGUCACGCCACCGUCGCUGUCUUCAUCGCGUGUGGAGUCAUCGUUGCCAACAAACCCAGCUGCCGCCCAGUUGUGUCGCCGCCAUGAAGACCUCGCAGACGUCUUCCCCUUCGCAGAUCAUUGCCGUCUUUGGAGCAGAGAGCGAAAGAGAUCUCACGGUAGAGGAAACAUGGAGGUGCCACCGUGCAGCGAGAAGCUACUGCCGCCACGAAGCUACCGCCGCCGUUGCACACUCCGUUACCGCUACUGCUGGGGCUGUGCUGCCAUGACCGAGCUUCUGCCACCCGAAACCCGCCGCCACUGCCACCAAAAACCGCCACUGAGGCCUAAGUCAGUUUGACUAUAUAGUCACUGCUGCUACAGAACCAUCAGAGCUUCUGGCUGUUAUUAGAGCUGCUGUCCGGUCAAUUUAGAAGCUACUACUGUGUCGUUCUAUUCUGUUUAUGGAACCGGAUGAAGAAACAUUAAGAAGAGUUACAGUGCAUUUGGUGUAUAUGUUGUUGUAUUAAUUAGAUUAUUUUCUUCCUUCGUUUUUGUUAUUACAAGUUUGUAAGAGGGAUAGGAAUUGUAUGUUUUAUAUGUAUAAUAUAUUGAGUUAUUGUGUAAGGAGUCUUGUAUAUGAAUCUAUGCCUGCUUGUAUUUUUCUUAAGAUAAAGUAUUUAUUUCUGGUUUUCAAAGAAA